RNAcentral lists this ribosomal RNA (358 nucleotides) under uncultured Rickettsiales bacterium. Its description in RNAcentral is "bacterial SSU rRNA". It matches the Rfam family "Bacterial small subunit ribosomal RNA", at positions 1072 to 1433 of the family's 1533-position model. The record is from RNAcentral. Lineage: Bacteria; Pseudomonadati; Pseudomonadota; Alphaproteobacteria; Rickettsiales.
AUGUUGGGUUAAGUCCGGCAACGAGCGCAACCCUUAUCCUCAUUUCUAUCAGGUUUAGUUGAGGACUUUGGGGAAACUGCCGUUGGAAAAGCGGAGGAAGGCGAGGAUGACGUCAAGUCCUCAUGGCCCUUAUGGGCUGGGCUACACACGUGCUACAAUGGUAAUUACAAUAGGUCGCGAAAAGGCAACUUUGAGCUAAUCUUCAAAAAUUAUCUUAGUUCGGAUUGUUCUCUGCAACUCGAGAGCAUGAAGUUGGAAUUGCUAGUAAUCGUGGAUCAGCAUGCCGCGGUAUACGUUCCCAGGCCUUGUACACACCGCCCGUCACACCAUGGGAGUUGGAUUCACCCGAAGGCGGUGC